This is a non-coding RNA of Aedes albopictus (Asian tiger mosquito), 72 nucleotides long. The record is from Rfam. NCBI's taxonomy places the organism in Eukaryota, Metazoa, Arthropoda, Insecta, Diptera, Culicidae.
GGCUUGGUAGCUUAGUUGGUAAAGCACUUGUCUAGCGAAUAAGGGUCGUGAGUUCAAAUCUCACCUGAGCUU